AUUAAUAAAUGGGCCACUGGCCGUGGGAAGUAGCGACGGCUGAGAUGCUGGAGUGAAAGAAACCCCACAGAGACGCUGUAAACGAUCCGGGGGGGCCAUCAGGAUUAGGGGGAGUAGGCUGGGGCGAUGCCUCCCGAAACCCCGAAGCUGGUGAGCCCAACCUGACUCGAUUCUUGCACGCGAUCCCACAUUCUUGUUUAAUCUACCUUCGUUGCUUUGGCAGGCCACAGUUGACUGUGUAGGCUCCGGCUUACCGUGCCUGCCAGAGGACCCCAACCCUGCAGUUAGUGAUGUCUGAGUACUAUUUAAUAGUUAAAACUUUCAACAACGGAUCUCUUGGUUCUGGCAUCGAUGAAGAACGCAGCGAAAUGCGAUAAGUAAUGCGAAUUGCAGAAUUCAGUGAGUCAUCGAAUCUUUGAACGCACAUUGCGCCCCUUGGUAUUCCGAGGGGCAUGCCUGUUCGAGCGUCAUUACAACCCUCAAGCCUAGCUUGGUCUUGGGAAUCGCGGUCCCCGCGGCCCCUAAAAUCAGUGGCGGUGCCUGUAGGCUCUACGCGUAGUAAUUUUUCUCGCGAUGGAUCCCUAUACGUGCUCGCCAACAACCCCCAAUUCUUUCAGGUUGACCUCGGAUCAGGUAGGGAUACCCGCUGAACUUAAGCAUAUCAAUAAGCGGAGGAAAAGAAACCAACAGGGAUUACCUCAGUAACGGCGAGUGAAGCGGUAACAGCUCAAAUUUGAAAUCUGGCUCUUUCAGGGUCCGAGUUGUAAUUUGUAGAAGAUGCUUAGGGUGUUGCUCCGGUCUAAGUUCCUUGGAACAGGACGUCAUAGAGGGUGAGAAUCCCGUAUGUGACUGGGUACCUUCGCCCGUGUUAAGCUCUUUCGACGAGUCGAGUUGUUUGGGAAUGCAGCUCAAAAUGGGUGGUAAAUUUCAUCUAAAGCUAAAUAUUGGCCAGAGACCGAUAGCGCACAAGUAGAGUGAUCGAAAGAUGAAAAGCACUUUGGAAAGAGAGUUAAACAGUACGUGAAAUUGUUGAAAGGGAAGCGCUUGCAACCAGACUUGCACGCUGCUGAUCAUCCGGGGUUCUCCCCGGUGCACUCGGUAGCGUUCAGGCCAGUAUCGGUUUCGGUGGUUGGAGAAAGGCCUAGGGAAUGUGGCUCCUCUCGGGGAGUGUUAUAGCCCUAGGUGCCAUGCAGCCUACCGGGACCGAGGACCGCGCUUCGGCUAGGAUACUGGCGUAAUGGUUGUAAGCGACC
RNAcentral lists this ribosomal RNA (1253 nucleotides) under uncultured Helotiales. RNAcentral describes it as "eukaryotic LSU rRNA". The stretch from base 620 to 1253 matches the Rfam family "Eukaryotic large subunit ribosomal RNA", at positions 1 to 649 of the family's 3401-position model. Lineage: Eukaryota; Fungi; Ascomycota; Leotiomycetes; Helotiales. The record is from RNAcentral.